ACCUGGUUGGCUCAGUCAGUAGAGCAAGUGACUUUUAAUCUCAGGGUAGUGAUUUCAAGCCCCACAUUGGGCA
This 73-nucleotide transfer RNA is filed under the name Mustela putorius furo (domestic ferret). It matches the Rfam family "tRNA". From Rfam's summary of the family: Transfer RNA (tRNA) molecules are approximately 80 nucleotides in length. Their secondary structure includes four short double-helical elements and three loops (D, anti-codon, and T loops). The record is from Rfam by way of RNAcentral. Lineage: Eukaryota; Metazoa; Chordata; Mammalia; Carnivora; Mustelidae.